ACAUAUUUAUCAUACAGUAACACAAUGAUAGAUAUACGGAAUGAAACCUUCAGGUCUGACAUAUUUUUACAGAGCUUCUUGAACAUUCCAACCCAGCUACUUGGACUCGUCCUGCGUCACAUGUAUGCAAGAUUGUGUUGCGUGAACUAGACGGCAAGCGCAGCUUCGGAGUUCCUCGAAUUUUCUGCGCUUUUUUACGUCAGUUUCUACCCAAUUUUGGUUGUCAUCGGUGGCAGAACAUCAUAAGGAGGAAUGCCACGUCGACGUAAGAAUAAGACUUCUGCUGAAUUGAUGAGGCUGAAUGCCUGGAAGGGACAACAGGAAACAAAGACAGCUGGUAAGCAGGAAUUGGAGGUAAGACUAAGAGGGCAGAAGCCAGCUGAUGAGCAGGAAGUGGAGGUAAGAGGUCAGGUGCCAGCUAAUGAGCAGGAAGUGGAGGUAAGAGGACAGGAGCCAGCUAAUGAGCAGGAAGUGGAGGUAAGAGGACAGGAGCCAGCUAAUGAACAGGAAAUAGAAGUAGCAGGACAGGACCUAGAUGACAAGCAGCAAUUACAGGUAACUGGGCUGGAGCCAGCUGAUCCAAAGGAAGUAGAGGUAACAGGGGAGUGGAAGGAUAGCGAGUUCACAUUCAAUCCCUUCACACAAAAUGAUCAAUUGCAACUAGCAGGCCAGUUGAACCUUUCUGUUCAUCGAUAUCUCAAUAUUCAGGAAAGGAAUGUUCCUUUGGAGGCACCAAUCAGUCC
This is a long non-coding RNA of Branchiostoma floridae (Florida lancelet), 743 nucleotides long. RefSeq lists it as uncharacterized. The record is from RefSeq and is a predicted model, not a curated record. NCBI's taxonomy places the organism in Eukaryota, Metazoa, Chordata, Leptocardii, Amphioxiformes, Branchiostomatidae. The transcript has 2 exons.